AUAAGGCCCAGUAUAAUUUGGUCCCUUCCUCCUUCUCACCCUAAUUUCCCACUGCUCUUCCUCUCCCCCUGCUCCAGCCCCUGGGGGGCUAUGGCUGUUUCACAGACCAAAGCAGUUCUAUCCUUAGGGCCUUUGUUCCUGCUGUUGCCCCUUGGAAGGUUUUCUCCCUCAGAUAUUAACAUGGCUGUCUCCUCACUCUAUUUAUACCUCUGUUCAAAUAUCAACAUGUGGUGAACAGCGUCGAAAGUGACCCUUAAUGAUCUGCCCUCCUGGUAUUCACAUCUUGUGUGAUUCCCUACCCCUUUAGUGUGAGCUGGACCUACUGACUUACUAAUAAUGAAAAGAAUAUUUUAAAAGGGGAGAGAUGUCACCUCUGAGAUCUGAUUAUAAAAUACUAUGACUUCAUCUUGCAUGCUUUUCCUCUCUCCCUUUGUCUCCCUCUCCCUGGCAUUCUUGCUUGUGAGAAAGCAGGCUGCCAUGGUGUGAGCUGCCCUGUGGAGAAGCCCACAUGGCAAGAAACUGAGGGAGACCUUCAGCCAAUAGCCAGUGAGGAACUGAUGCUCUCAGAGAACAGCCUGUAGGAAACUAAUUUCUGCUAAGAACCUUCAGAUGACUGCAGGCCUGGCUGGCAACUCAACUGCAGCCUGAGAGAUCUUGAAGCAGAGGAUUCAGCUAAGCUUCUCCUGGAUUCCCAUUUGACAGAAACUCUGAGAUCAUGAAUACUGUUGUUUUGAACACUAAGUCUUGAGGUAAUUUGUAACACAGCAAUAGAUCACUGAUACCGAAUCCCUGGGAGAAGUCUUCUAUGACUAUGCAAUUUUAAACAGAAUUCUUUGUUGCACAAUGAUCCCCUAACCUUCUUUGUUUUAUUUCAUAGCAUGUAUUUCUUAGACAUUAUUUGAUAUUUUUUUGUUUGCAUAUUUCUUUCUCUCUGCUAGAAUGUAAAGUUUUAUGAAGACGAAACUAUUUUGCUUAUCAUCCUGUUUCCUAGUGCCUACAAGAGUGUCUAACAUUAAAUGGGUGCUCACAUUUGGGUCUCACUUUGUAAUCCAGGCUGGAGUGCAGUGGUUGAUCUUGGCUCACUAUAGCCUCACACUCCCACCAGGCUCCAGAGAUCCCUCAACCUCAGCCUCGUGAAGUACAUGUCACCACAACCAGGGUGGUGACGGCUCUGCUGGUGCCAGCUCCAGGUUUUGCAUGACCUCUGUGGGCUCCCCUAUACCUGCUUAGACCUCUAUUCUCUUUUUGCACGUGCUGUCUGUCUCCUGCUUGCUCUGUGGCACAGCUGGGUAAGUGUCCAUCUUAUUCCUGGCACAAUGUAGGGGCUUCAGUGUUGGUGGAAAGGCAGAGAGAAAUUCAUUAAUUCCCAAGGGAGAAAUUUAAGACUGGAGAAUUAAGAGAACAAUUUGGCAGUAUCUAGUAAAUAUAUAUAUCCAGUAAUUCCUUUCUUAUAUCAGAAAACAAACAUAUAGACGACAGAAAUGUUUUCAGAAGUCAAAAGACUAAAUUCAAGUAAUGAGUCUGAUCUUUUCUCCAACCUUCUUCCUGCUAACUGUUCAUCUGGAGACCCCUAGAAAAUUUUGCCCUAAUGCUGGUGUCUCUCCUCCCUCCCCCGUCCCCCACUAUUUCCACUGAUUUUAAAUGAAAGUGGUCCUUAAUAUUUUGGUAUUCAUAUUUUUCUACCCUUUGCCCCUUCAGCCCUUCAUACAGUGCUCUCUAAAUAUGCUUAGUGGUGGUACUCUAAGGCUGUAGGCGUUUACAAAAAUCCCUAGGCAGUCUCAUGAAAAUCAAACAGUCCACCUUUCUUUAGCUGGUUUCUUCAAAGGGAUUUCUGUAAACAGCACUUCCUUCAAGCAGAGUCCACCUGCCUUUCCUAUCCUUGCUUUCUUGGGAGGUGCCUGCAGUGCCAUCAAGGGAGCCCAACCCAGAGAAGGGAGCUCACAAAUGAGAUCUGAGGCCCUUUAAAGAUGUGGCAUCGAAUGGAAGACUAUUUC
Long non-coding RNA from Callithrix jacchus (white-tufted-ear marmoset), 1994 nucleotides. Lineage: Eukaryota; Metazoa; Chordata; Mammalia; Primates; Cebidae. The record is from Ensembl.